CUUUAUUGGAGGCAGUAGUUUUAAAAUUCCUCUAAAUUUACAAGCGGGGGAGACGUUAUUAGGAUUGAUUCUAUCUGUUGUUUUAGAACCACCGAAUAAUUCUAAUUUUGAUAAUUAUUAUGUUAUCAUCAACGGAACAGAAGGCUCUACACACAAUGGAUGGCCUUAUGCUAACUUGGAGGCAGCUCAUGUGGGGCUCAAGUUAGUGGAUUUAGAAAAGAAGCAGGGGGAUAUUUGCAAUGUUGAAUUUCUUUUCUACAAGGGCGCACGCAUUAGAAGUUGCGGGGUGCACCCACUAUUGCGCAAACAAGACGAAUGGCUUCCCAUGUCUUUGGGACCAACAAGUAGUCUUGGGAAGAGGCCUCGUCCACUUGGAUCCUCAGAUACCGUCCACGAGGAAUAUGAUCGGCAACGACAAUGGCUUUCCUUAUCUUCGAACCCGGCGGAUGAUCAUCCGAAACGCAGGCAGAUUGAUCGUAAUGUUCCUUUCGAUAUUGAGGAGGAGCAAGAGCAGCCAUCCACUUCAGAUGAUUCACAAUCCACUUCAGAUGAUUCACAAUUUUUUCUUCAUUAGGAGUUUGGGUAC
Molecule: long non-coding RNA, 586 nt
Filed under: Malus domestica (apple)
Lineage: Eukaryota; Viridiplantae; Streptophyta; Magnoliopsida; Rosales; Rosaceae
Description: long non-coding RNA (MDOM_LNC001478)
Source: RNAcentral